Molecule: long non-coding RNA, 465 nt
Organism: Arachis stenosperma
Lineage: Eukaryota; Viridiplantae; Streptophyta; Magnoliopsida; Fabales; Fabaceae
Exons: 4
Source: RefSeq, a predicted model, not a curated record
UCUUCAAAGCUUGAUUUCUUCUGAACUAAAACUCAAAUCAAAAUUCCGAUUUCACCAAAAUGAUCCUCUCUUCUUCCUCUACAUAACCAUGUGACUUAUCAAGGCUGGAAAUAAGGAAUCAUGCUUAACUUGACUUGAGGGCCAAGAAACGUGAAUUUUCAGCAACUCUAAGGAGGAAAAAGUGCUUAAGGACCACCUGAAAAUCUAUCUGAAUUAGGAGCAGCAAAACCAGAUGGAAGUAAGAGUACCUUACCGUAGUUCGUUGAUGAUGGAUCUGCAAAGAGGAUUCUGCUCUAGAUAGUCUUCUGAGUCUAGGGUGGAUAUCGUUCUCUGAUUAUACGUAUAUACCAUGAGACCAGCCAAUGUCUGCACCCCGUUCGUAUGCGCACUUUAACCUAAAUCCUGUGUACGAAACUCCCGUUGUGUGGCUACUUGAUGAGGUACCAGAGAGACGUCCUAUGGCAA